Long non-coding RNA from Leopardus geoffroyi (Geoffroy's cat), 18610 nucleotides. RefSeq lists it as uncharacterized. The transcript has 2 exons. Lineage: Eukaryota; Metazoa; Chordata; Mammalia; Carnivora; Felidae. The record is from RefSeq and is a predicted model, not a curated record.
UGACCUGGGCUGAAGUCGGACGAUUAACUGACUGAGCCACCCAGGCGCCCCAGGACCAGACACUUCUAACAGGAGCACAGGGCUGCUUUAGAGGGGUAAGGACAUGGCCUUUGUCCCACCAAACAAUGCCACUCAGGCACUCACCAUCAGAAAUCCUAAUCCAUGGGAAUUUGAAGCUAAUAUUCCACAAAUUGAAAGAAUGUAUUCAAAACAUAUCACCCUAAAAAGCAGCAGGAAACUAGUGUUGUUGGUUUUUGGGUUUUUUUUAUGGCACACUGUCAACUCCAUCUUCUAGUACACAGUGAGCUCCUCAACAAUAAAGAGAGGUCUCUGGGAUUUGAUGGUUUACUCCCCCACCUUCCCUAAACAGUCCAACUUCCCCUACUUAAAUAUGGUGGUGAAUUUAGCAAGGAGGAAUUCUGAAUCACUGUCCAAUGAUCAGCAUCACUGAGCGUGUUCUGGAGAUCGACAAGGACAGGAAUGUGCUAGGAGAUGUAAGCACAGGAUCAACUCCCGGCCAGGUUGGGCAGCUCCAGAAUUUGGAAAUUAAUCAAGAAAGGAAAGAAAGGGGAAAAUAAAAGGAAAAGAGGAAAAAGAAAGUUAUCAGGCCCCGACUCCCCUGCUCUUCCCGACACACAUGAAGAGCACAGACCAAAUAUCUGAACAUUCCUGACCCCACCCUUUCCCUUAUACCCACAUCAGCAAGCCCAGUCAGCUCAGUCUCUAAAAUAUACCCUGAACCCUAUCACUUCUCCAGGACCGCCAUUCUGGUCAAACACACCAUUAUCUUCCAUCUGGUCUACCAACAUACUUCCUUAGCUAUCCCUGCUCCCACACUUGCCUCCUUAUCCCUCAUACCUUAUAAUCACUUUUCCAUAGAGAAGUCAGAGUGGCUUAUACUACGAGAUGCAAGUCAGACCACGUUACUUUUCUACUCGAACCCUACUAAGGCUUUCCAAGACUCCAAAAUCCUCCCCAUGGAUGCCAGGUCUUAACACUUCCCACUUCUUGACCUCAUAUCCUCCGCUUCCCUUUCAUUUUAUUCUAGCAAUAUCUGGCUUAGUACUGUUCCUAGAACACUGUAGACUGUUUCUACCUCAGGGUCUUUUUACAUACUAUACCCUCAGCGUAUAAUGCUUCCCCAAAAUCACAGCAUCCAUCAUCAUUUCAUGUGUGUCCUUGUUCCAAUGUUACCUCUUCCAAGAGGUUUUUCUUAAUCAUCCUGUCCAAAACAACCAUUCAUCUCCCUAGUCCUCUGUCUUGUUAUUUCUCCAUAGCACCUUGUCACUAUUUGAAUUUUCUCAUUAGAUUAUUACCUAUCCCCCAACCAACCUGCCUGAGGAUAGGUGCUUUCUAUCUGUUCUCCACUGUAUUCUCAGAGCCUAGAACAGAGGCUGGCAUAUAACAGAUAGUCAACAGUAUCUCAAUAAAUAAAUGUGGAGCCAUUGAGAUUGGCCAGAAAGGGUUUCCUAUAAUCAGGAUUUUUAGUUUUAUUUUCAAAGAGACGAAGGAUACAUGUUGGUUGGAAUCAUACCUGAUGAUCUCUAUUGUUCCUGCUCUUACUGAUGUCCAAGAAUCUCCACUACCCCCACAAGCAGGGCCACCUUUUACAAUCACAGACCACACACCAUCACUCAGAUGGUGCAUGUGAGCCAGACAGAAACAAUAUGAAAAAUCAGUUUUCCAUUCCAUGAUUGUGUGGUACCUAAAUGGAAAGCUACACUGGAAGAUAAACAGAAAUGAAAGGCACCAUGAUGCUAUAAUGUUAUCUUUAAAAAGAAAGUGCAACCUAUUUUAAAUGACACAAUACUUAAGUGCAUCAGGCAUACCCAGGCAGGGUGUGAAAUCAGGCCAUAUGUUAGCCCUCAGGUGGAAUUAUAAAGCACGUGGCUGAAGGCUGACUGCUUUAAGAGGGCCUUGCAUUACAUUAUAUAAAGAAUUUUACUACUUUUCUGAAUUGAACUUAGCUACGGAAUUGAGAGAAACCAUCUGACUUCCACAUUUACCCUGUCUCACAGAGGUGGGGCAUGGUAGCACUAAAAUCCAACAGGCACACUGUAGCCAUGCUCCAUUCAAAUUCUCAGUGCAGAACUACGAUGUUGAUGUUAUAUUGUGUUUAAACCUUAAUGAAAGAUAACAUUUCUUUCUCUCUCGCACAGUGCUCAGUUCUAUAACCUUCAUACAAAAUACAGAUCCUUGCUGGGGAGUUUGGACCAACAGUGUGCUGUGAGCAACUUGUGCUCAUAAGCCAGGCCCACACAGAUGAAACACUUCGCACAAAGAAAGAAAAGCUUCCCAAAAACCUCCUCUGGAGAAAUACUCUAUAUUGGCUGGAUUCUCUCUUCAGUGCCGGAAACAGCAGGAUGACUUCUAAGUUACCAAUGAUCUGUUCUCCACAUCACUGGAGCCUUCCCACACCUCAGCUCAAGAAGGUCACAAGCCCACUUUGGGUUAAAUGCUCUCACAGCUUACUGGAAACCCACUGAUGGCUGAUGCAGUGUUUUGAGAAUAAACUAUGUAAUCGUCAAGAUUUCCAAAAGGCACAGUUUCCCUUCCAACAAAGAACAGAUUCUGACUGAACUGUGGGAUGUGGGCAGUGGUAACCCCUGAGCUGCUCACCUUUUUGAUUCUGGAGAGAUCCCACGUGAGGAUGAAAGUCUGUUGGGAAGGCAGAUCAGCUUUCCAAGCAGAAAAUAAACAUAAAAUACAGGGGGUAGGUAAGAGCUAUGCAGAUAGGGCCACACAAUACACAACUCUGAGAUUUCAGCCCCCUCCUUCUGGUCAAGUGGUUAGCCCUAGCUCCUUCUCUGAAGAUGAGCCUGGGAACACCUUCAAGUUCUUAAAUGUUUCACUGCUCUCUGGCAGUGUUUCCAUGGGCAUUUUGUUCGGAAGGUAGUUUGCUCAUGUCCCUGGGAGUUUUCUCUUGGCAGGGAUCAGUACAGCUAGGUGACUGCUCUCCCUUAAUGAGCCUUAAUUAGAUUAUGUUUAACAGCACGGACUGCACAGGGAGGCAUGCUGAUGUGCAGACAAGGAGUGGCUUACCCUGUAAAUUAAUAGGCCUGACUGGAAUUAUGGAAGCUAGCUGUGUAAACGCAAAUGGAGCCCCCUAAGCCAACAGUCCUUGGCCUGCUGACACAGCUGCACCAGAGUACCCAGUCACUGGAGCGCCAAAGGAUAUUCAGUUACAGUGAAGAAAUCAUAACAGAGACAGGAAACAGAUCAGCACACUCUGGAUUUAACACCCUCCCUGGGGAACUCGGCUGAUUUUGAGCCUGCAGAUGUUUUUAACUCUGCCUUGAAGAAUGUCCAUGUCACAUGCUCAAGCUGAUGGAGUUGAGUACAGUAGUCAAGCAAGGCUUACAUAUUCAGAGAGGGGACUGAAAUUCUGUUGAUUCGAACUCCUCAUCUCUGAGACUGAGGUGGGGCAACUGAUAAAAUCUGCAAAAUCCUUUGGUGGAUUUGCUGAGCUGGCUGGAAAUAGAUGCCUAAGAAGCCCAGUGUUUACAUGAAAUGAGGUGUAAAUGAAGUCAACUAGACUCUUCCAUGAAGAUCCUGCCGUCCCCAUGGUGGUGGGGUUUCUCAGCUGCUUCCCCCUUGUUGUUAUUCUCACUGCUCCAUACCAAGUGGAGGAGAAUGAAAACAAGCCUUCUCCAUUCAGCACUUUCAACAUCACUGCCAACAAAAACGGGAUCCUUGACUAUUUAGAGCUUAUGACUAAGGGGAUGGCAUAUCUUAGGCAGGAUAUAGGUCGUUUUUCAAAAGUUACAGUAAAUUUGCAGAAUUGGAAAUUUAUCUUUUUAAGUUCUUCCGACUGAGUUAGAUAAAUAUGUCUAAGGCUGAAUAAAGAUGUGGUUUGCCAGAGGUACUGCAUUUUCUUUGGGGCAAAGGGACCGCUGGACCCUGCCAGGAAAGAGUUCAGGCAAGAGGAGGACUAUGGAUGUGAGAUAAACCUCAAGUCUGACGUGAAAAAAGAGAAAAAUGUUCAGCCUUGCUUGUGAUUUUUUUUUGUUUUUGGUCCCAUUUGCAGUUAUUUUACUCUUCUAAAUUUCCUUAUCUAUAAAACAAGUAAUUUUUAAGAAUGCUCUCAGAGGACCCUGUCAGGACCAAAAAUUCUAUCAGUCAUUUCCUAACAUACCCUUGAAACAUCCCGCUGAGGACAUAUUUUUGUUUCUCAUGUUGAAAAAGCAAUGAUCUUUUUAACUGCUACUGAAUUGAGUUUCGUGUUUGAACAGACACACGUUUCUGGCAAUUUAGAGCAAUUCUCCUUUCUCCACCUGAGUUUGAGGACUUAUCCAAACAACUGAGAAGAUGGGAGGGUGGUGGGGCCGGGGAGAGGGGAAGCCUGCUGGAGCUAUCUGGGCUGGCCCUCUCUGCAGAGGCAAGCCUUCACUUCUGUGAAUGGGAAGCAGUUCUGGAUGGAAGUAGAGACUUAUGGGGCGGCCUGGAUCACUGUUGGACAGUUCCACCUGUUAAAAGAAGCCCCUCCUUAUUUUGGACUUCUCCCAUCUAUGUUCUUGUCUGAAGAAUUUAUGACCACAGAUUCUCUCCCCAGAUGAUCACUCCCCAAGACUUCUCUUUCCCAAGUGGAGCUAUUUCUCCAAUUUCCUCUGUGCUCUACCACCACACCUGGUUCUUACUUGCUAUCUAAAUAACAGGUGGAUAGAGUUGGAUCACCCAGAUUCUAAUGAGGAGCUUAGAUGGAUUAGGGACUUAGGGACUUAGGUGUGGGCAGAGAAGUUCAUCUUGUAUUAAGACAUGAAGGGUACCAAUGAAACGGACUUUGCCCUGCCAAUCAGCUCUAAGUCUGGAAGGUCAUUUGUUGUGUGUUCUUGUUUGGAGUUACACAGGGCUCUUACAUCAAGGUCUCCUUUUGAGUGAAUGACCACCUGGAAAAGUAAGCAUGCACAGUGCCCGGUACAUAUGUAUAGAAUGUAUUUAGAAGUUAAAUCCUAAAUCAGACAGCUUUUCUCACACUUCAGGUUCCUGAAAGAGUGAAGGGGCAGGAUGCCUGGAAGAGACUGACCAGAGCGUGGUAUGUAAAACCUGAGUGUAGAUAAGAGGAGCAUUUGAGAUAGUUCUGUCUACCUUAAAACUCUGCUAAUGCCAGGUCUACGUCAAGAGACCCCAAACCAGCUACCUCUGCACACCAAGACAGCAAGUAUUGCCUAUGUGCUAGAAUACCUUUGCUUAUUCUUUUCUCCAUCUUCCUUCCAGAAGUUUCAUGGAAGUAGAGCCAGGGCCAGGAUACAAUUUCCUGACUCUCCCAUGCCUCUUAGUUAUGGAGGUAGGACAGUACAGGAGGGAAAAAGGAUACUGAGGAGCUUCUUAAAGGGGGAUCAUUGCUCGUAAAGUUGGCCCUAAAAUCAACCAGAAAAUCUAAUAAAACACAUGUGUUCAACACAGAAAUUAGUUUAUUGGAUCAUUCUCUCUCUUAAUUACCCCGUUUUUCAGUAAACCAUAAUGACCUCUCAGUACUUCCCAGGGGGACUUCCCUAAAGUUCUUCCUUUAAAAUGGACAAGUGAUGAGUGAUGAUUGAGUAACCUGCCAAAUCCUUCACUUACGAACUCAUCAAGAGAAAGAAGAAAAUAGACUUAGUUAUUUUGAUUUCGCAGUGAGCUCAAAGAAACAACAUCAGUAAAACAGUUAAGAAUGUUUUUCACGAGAGACAUCAUUUAAAGACAAGUGGAAUCUCUCUGCUGUCAUCCAAGAACAAAAUCCUGACUGGCUCCCACCUAUUUUUCUCCUUCUUCUUCCAUGGUCACUUGGGAUGGGCCAUGGGAGAGAUCAGGAUUCUUCAUUUACUCUAUGCCCUAAGGUUUUAUGGACUUUGUCUCACCUUUUGAAUCCAUUCCCCCAACACCACCCCAAGUUUCAUUUUACACAUCAGCGAAAGUCUCAGCCAAAGGGGAAGGAGUUUUCUUCCCACUAGAGUAGAAUUCAGGAAUUUAUCUGUCUUAAGGUCUGGAGUCAAGCUAAAUUAUGUUACCUGGGGAUGGUGCCAAAAAAAAGGUCUGUUCUCUUUUCUGAAUCAUGAAACCACCAGUGGUAAUCUUAUGUCCAAAUAGUUGAGAUUAAAAACACCAGUACAUAACGUGUGCUUUACAGAAGAUGGCUGCCAAGUAUGUUACGCCUUCAACAUAGCUCUCCUGGUAAUCUGAAAACUGACCUUGAACAAAAAAAGGCAGGUGAGAAACACAGGGCCAACUCUAAGAUUAAGUGGUAUCCACACAUAUUAGUUGAAAGAUCAGCCUCGCCCAACAUUUCCCCAACAACUUGCCACAUGUAUAUUGUCUUUUUUUCUUUCUUGGCCUGCAAUGUCCACCAGUCACUCUCCUGAGCUACACAAAGAGAGGGGACACUGUCCUAGGCCAGCAUGUUACUGGGAGAGUCAGUGAAGGAGUUAUAUUCGAUUAUCACAGGAGUUUGUUUUAAUGUCUUUAUGGUCACGUUUCUUUUUUCUGUGAAGGCUUUGUCUUAUUUUGUUGGUUAGGUGAUGAAUUAAUUUUGAAGGAAGGCUGGUCAGUUGGUCAGUCAGCACCCUUCUGUUGAAGGCUGACUCACUGUUCUCAGUCAAGGGACAAAUGGAUUUCUGCUCUUUCUUUAGUGAUUAAAAAAAAAGAAACUUGCCAAUAACCAUCUGAAUCUACCCAAAAGAGAGUUAAAUUUUUUUUCUUUUCCAGUAUUCAAAAAAUCAAGCCUAGAAAAUAGUAUAUAAUAGCACUGCCGAAUAGAGAUAUAAGCCACAUAUGUAAUCUAAUAUUUUCUAAUAGCCACAUAAAAAAGGUACAAAGAAACAGGUGAAAUUAUUUUUAACAGUAUAUCUUAUUUAACCCAACAGAUCCCAAAUAUUAUCCUUUCAAUGUGUAAUCAAUAUAAAAAUUGUUAUAUUUUACAUUCUUUUUGUCACAUUAAGUCUUCUGAAUCUGGUAGAUUUUAGACUCACAGCAUAUCUCAGUUUGAAGUAGACACAUUUUUGAGGGCUCAGUAGCCACACGCAGCCCCUGGCUACCACACUGGCAAGCUCAGAUGUAGCCCUGCCCCACACCUCACCAACUUAGGGAAAGGAGAACAGAAAUAUUAACCGGAUUUUCUUUUUCACAUGGUGGCAAACUGAAGUAUACUGUAACCUAUAGAUAUGGAGAUGUAAAUAAAUGACACCAUACCUAAAACCACUCUCAGAUCAUUUCAGCUCUAUCCUCUCUAGUUAAUACAAAUCACCACUGUACUAUAGCAAAGUAAUUGAAGAUGGGUUUUCCCCCUUUGGGGGUAAAGGACACAAUGAAGGAGUGGUGCAGCCACUUUGGAAUACAGGCUGGCUGUUCCUCCCAAAGUUAAACACUUCCCCAAGAGCAGUGAAAACAUACAUCCACACCAAAAACUUACACAUCCAUGUCCACAGCAUUAUUCAUAAUAGCCAAAACAUGGAAAGAAGCCAAAUGCCCAUCAAAUGAUCAGUGAAUAAAUGUGGCACAUACACAAGAAUAUUAUUCGGCAAUAAAGAGGAGAGAAGUACCGACACGUGUACAACACAUGUGAACCCUGAAGACAUGAUGCUAAGAAGUGAAAUAAGCCAGAGAGAAAAGACCAUUGUAUGGUUCCAUUUAUUUUUUUAUACUUUUCUUUAAUGUUUAUUUAUUUUUGAGAGAGAGACCGAGAGAGCAAGUGAGCGUGGGUGGUAGAGGGGCAGAGCAAAAGGGAGAGAGAGCAUCCCAAGCAGGCUCCACACUGUCAGCACAGAGCCCAAAGGGGGGCUUGAUCUCAUGAACCUUGAGAUUGUGACCUAAGCCAAAGUUGGGGUCUUAACCGACUGAGCCAUCCAGGCUCAUUCAUAUAAAUGGUGCCAUUUAUAUGAAACAUCCAUAGAGUCAAAAAGGACAGGAAAAUCCAUAGAGUGAAAAAGUAGCUUGGGUUACAAAGGGGUAGGAGGAGUUGGGGAGAAGAGGGGAAUGACUGCUAAUAGGUACAAGGUUUCUUUCUGAGGUGAUGAAAAUGUUCUAAAAUUGAUUGUGGUGAUUAUUGCAUAAUUCUGAAUACACUAAAACUAUCUAAUUGUACACUUUAAAUUGGUGAGUUGAAUCAUAUGUGAGUUAUAUCUCAAUAACACUGUUAUUUAAAAAAAAAAAAGUAACAAAAGAUGACUCCACCUAAUGUAUGAGGCCCCUGAACACCACAUUUUAUCAAGUGCUCAUAUGAGAUUGCCCAUGUGACCGCAGAUAUAUGGAUACAGAGGCAUUCUACCAAUACAAACAAUGGGUGAAAUGCUGAAGUAUGUUUCUUCUAUUUAAAGAAGGCAAAGCAGAGAAGCUCCAGGUUAAUUUCUCCCUAGCCAGAGCCUAUAAAGAGAAACAAAGUGUAGAAUCUCAGACUGAAGACCUCCCUGGUAAUAAGGAAAAAGCCAAUCUUUCCAUAGGAGGGUUGGCGAGAGGGGGUUUGACGACAGGGUGACAGGUCUGCAGAAGUACAGGCUCAUACCGUGACGUCCCGCUUCCUCCUGCAAUCCCGCCAUCCUCCUGGGCAGCUCAGCACUCAUUCACCACUCACUACCUCUUCAAGAUGGGUUUCCAAAAUCAGCUUCAGACUUUAGGACCCUAGCGCCAGCCUUCAGCAUCAGGGCUUCCAGAAGGCGAUUUACUUACCCGCAGACUACUGUCCUCCCUUAUAGUUUGAUACUUCUUUUACAAUGUUUUGUUCUAGGCUUAGUUUGCCGUUGUUUUUAUUUCCCCGAAACCAAAAACGUUUCCAAGACCACACUGGCACAUUGGUGAACUAACAGCUGCUUCGUAAAAAGCGCUUAUUAUUUGUACCUGACUAUCCAUGGUUGCAUUUCAGCCACUUCCCGAUAACCAACCAAACCAAAAAGAUCUAUUCAAAUCAAGAAAGUAACAAACCACAAAGAAAAAUAAUUAGUUGCCUAAUUGUCUCAAUGAAAUGAAAGGGGGCGGCCUGCGUCCUAAGCAACAUAAGUGCCUGGAUUCCUCUGUGGUGGGAGCAGGGUCUGUGCCGAGCUGCAGCCUCGCGUGUUGACCUCUGAACCUCAGUGCCAGAUACUAUCAGCGACCACAGGAAGAGUCAGCAGACAUCCUGGAGUCACAGAUUACAGUGUCUCUCUCACUUCAUUCCUACUGUCACAAGUAUGUUAUCAGCCUGUUCGCUGGUGAUAGCUACAGCUCCAUCUCCUGUCCCCUCACUGCCCCUUUCUCCUCUUUCUGUGUAACAUUGCGAGGCAACAUCACAUCAGUCACCCUCAAUAUCCCUUAAUACCCCUUUUGCUAUACAGACUGCUCUGUUAAAACACUUUCAGAGACGGGCUAUUUUAACUGAAUCAAGUCUAAAUUCUUUCGUCCUGGUUUUCAGCUGGCUAGCUAGCCUGGCUCCUUACCCACCCCCCCACCACACCCUCCCUACAACCCCAGCUCCAGUCAGGAAAACAGUUUCCCUCUCUGGGGGCCUUUUCUCCCAUCCCCACAUGCUCCCUAAGCUAACUCCUGCUCUCCUCACCCAGAGCUCCAGACUACUACAAUGGUUUUCCUCUUCCUUUCUUGAUUUCCUUUGGACGCACCUUCACCACAGAGAGCUACUGUUGGAACUCACUGGCAUUGUUUGCUACUGUUACCUGUCAGUAACUUUUGUCUCCUUAACUUGCUUGUAACAUGCUGACCACAGGGACCAAGAUUUACUAUUCUGAAUCUUCCAGGGCAUCGAGCACAUAUUGGGAGCCUAAGCCACACAGCAUUAACAACUAUCACUGGAUACUGGAUUACAGAAGACUGGUACUUAAUGCUCCUUGAUUCCCUUGCUGUAUCUUCAGUCUGUCUCUGCCUCAAGACCCUCCCACUGACUGCCUAGGGACUCCCUCAUUUUAACGCCCCUUCCCUUAAACAAUCAUUCUUCCCUAUUGCUUUCUCUGAUCACACAUUGCUCUCCUCCCUGCAGAAUUAGUAACCUUAGAAUCCGGGUCCUCUAUCUAUCCUCUAUUUCCUUUCAAACAUCUUUCAAACUAUAGUAUGAUUAUGUUGAUUUUUUUUCCCUCCUCUGUUAGACCACAACGACCAUAAAUACUGAUGCCAUGUCUCAGCAAUACAAUCCCACACUCUAGCACAGGGGAAGGAUAUAAUAGGUAGAUAACAGAUACUCUAGGAUUUUAUUCCAGGAACUCUCAUGGAGGGCCCAGGAAUCAUGCAAACUUCUUCUUCCUAGUGAAAGUUAACUCUUUUCACAGAACUUGGUUGAGGAGUCCUUCUUCCCAGCAUGCAGAGAUGGGCUCAGCCCCAGGGUCCAGGGAAGCCGGCGUGCCCUCCGGCUCACCACUGUUGCUCUGGGGACCUCUAUCUAAAGGUAGCUUCCCCCCAGCAAUAGCACUGUUAGGAAUUUACCCUAGGGAUACAGGAGUACUGAUGCAUAGGGGCACUUGUACCCCAAUGUUUAUAGCAGCACUCUCAACAAUAGCCAAAUUAUGGAAAGAGCCUAAAUGUCCAUCAACUGAUGAAUGGAUAAAGAAGUUCUGGUUUAUAUACACAAUAGAAUACUACAUGGCAAUGAGAAAGAAUGAAAUAUGGCCCUUUGUAGCAACAUGGAUGGAACUGGAAAGUGUUAUGCUAAGUGAAAUAAGCCAUACAGAGAAUUAGAGUGGGAGAAAGCCAAAGCAUAAGAGACUCUUAAAAACUGAGAACAAACUGAGGGUUGAUGGGGGGUGGGAGGGAAGGGAGGGUGGGUGAUGGGUAUUGAGGAGGGCACCUUUUGGGAUGAGCACUGGGUGUUGUAUGGAAACCAAUUUGACAAUAAACUUCAUAUAUUGAAAAAUAAAAUAAAAUAAAAUAAAAUAAAAUAAAAUAAAAUAAAAGGUAGCUUCCCCUCAGACUGCAGACUGUACUCUCCCUCAAGCCUCCUUAAAGAUGGCCUCUUCUCACUUGCUUUCUGGAAAGAAGGGAGAUAGGAACAGACCUAAAGAAAAUCAUUAUGGAAAGUUUGUGUUUCACACUCACCUCUCUGAAUUCCUGCUCUACAUCUCAACACUCUUCUUCCCCAAUCCUAGGUGCCUUCAUUCCAAAGCUCCUUGAACCUCUUAUAUCUCUGAAACAUGAACGUUUUAUUAACAACAGAUUCAAAGACCUCAGCGAGAUUUUAUGGAGAAAGUAAUCUGAUUAAACAGUGCAGCCUGAAGUGCAGGUGACCAUUAAGAACCACCAUUCUUUCUAAAACUUCCUAGUGUAUUUGUACUUCACAAGAGGUCUAUAAUCUUAAAUUUAACGGAAAUAGAGUAAAUUCAAAUGAAGCAAAAGGACUGUCCCAGUAUCUUUCUGAAGAAGCAAAGAGACACCUGGUCCUACCUUAGAGAUUUCCAGGUGCUUCAGCAGGUCCUUGCUUUGCUCAGUCUUCUCCCUUUGACCCUAGUCACUCUCUGACCUCCUCCUCCCCAAGGUUGGGGAGUUUGUCUCCUCCCUUCUCAGACCUAGCCACUGCUAUCUUUUACUUUUCCUGGAUCUGAGUCUGUGCUAUAACUGACUAUUUGACGUGGGGUCUGAGCCUCUGCCUUCCCUGAAUUCAACUUUAGAAAAUAUUCUUUGUCCAUACACAGGCACCUUUGGGGAGAGGCCUACCAGAUCAUGGGCUUCAGUAAGAUUUAAGAAAACACCCUAAGUACGAUGCACAUCAUAAGCACACAAAACAUAUCACUCUUCCUUUCUCAAAUAUUUAUUGAGCUGAGGAACCAUCCCAGGUACAGUAAUGAACAAGACACUCUGUCCCCAUUAAACUUACACCAUGGCUAAGAAAAAAUAUUUAAAAACAAAAAAAGUAAUUGUAAGGAUGCAAGGGUUUGUUCACUCCCUUCUGCCUAUAAGCCCUGCCCUUGAGGACUAAAUAAGAUCACUUCAUACCCCAAUGUCGAAACCUGCUGCACACUCUGCUCCCUCCAGAUCUUCCCACACAUGGGUCCUUCCCUUCCUGGUGCUUCCCUGAGCACCCUGGAACCCCAAAUUCUUCCACUCUCUCCAAUCGGGGGUAUACUUACCCUCGCCCCCACCACAUGCUCAUCCAGGGUAUACAUACCAUCCCCUCCCAUCGUGUUCAGCCUAGGUAUACAUACCAAAAGCACCCCCCCACCCUUGUGCUCAGCCAUGGAGAAAAAAAAAAAAAAAGAGACUCUGAACUUAUCAGAAUCCACCUUUUGUAGGUAUUUGCAAUUAAAAUAGGACAAAAAAGUUAAUACUCUUCUUCCCUUCAUUCUAAAUGCUGACUUAUUCACUCUUUUGAAAGUGAGGUUAACUAUAUACAAAGAGGCAGAGAAGGAAGGAAUCAAUUUAAUAAUAUCCUAGCUGGGAGAAGGACUAGCUGAGCUUUUAAAAUAUAAGUGUUCCCACUUUACAUAACCACAAUCUCAGAGGAAGGAAAAAAGCUCCAAAGCAGAGAAGACCACCUGGCACCUUUUUUUUUUUUCUUUGGUGGAUGGAUUCUAAUACUUGGUCAUUAGCCUGAGAAGGUAAGAAAGUCACUGCUUCCAGCAAGCCAUCUCAAUACAGAGCAUGGUUCAAGUGAUUUCUUUUUCCUUUGUUGAUAACUAGUAGAUUUAUGUUUUCAUUCAAUGUGGCUUUCAUUAAUAUGAGAAGCACAAAGAAAAAUUUCAUAAUAUGAUAAAUAUAAACAGAUCACUGAACUGAGAGAAACUGCAAGUUUUCUUGGGAUUAUUAAUGGAAACGUUAUGCUUUUUAUUAAAUUUGUAGACAUGUAUAUUUGAAUAAUUACCCACUAAUUUUAUGAAGCUGGGAGGGACCAGAAUCUUCCAUGAUUGAGUGUAGAAAUCUAGAAUAAAGUGAGUUCAAAACACGUAAGCCUAGAAAAUACUUCAGUACCUCUAAAGUUACAUGAAGAGAACCAAAUGGAAAACCAAUAAUCAUGAGAUCACUAAUAUUUUGAACAAAACUAAUGAGAUGAGAGUUUUCCAUCUGUCAAUUUUUACCAACUAACUUUUGUUUCAGAGAACUGGAAAAAUAUAUCUAAAGGGAAGGUACCAAAAUAUUUACUCUGAAGUGCUGAAGUAAGUAAAAGUAAAAACCAGUACUAUGUAUGUAAAAUCAGGGUCACCUAGAUGGGUCAGUCAGGUAAGCAUCCAACUCUUGAUUUUGGCUCAGGUCAUGAUCUCACAGUUCCUGAGUUCGAGCCCCACAUUGGGCUCUGCACUGACAGUGUGGAGCCUACUUGGGAUUCUCUCUCUCUCCCUCUCUGUUCCUCCCCUGCUUGUGUUCUUUCACUCUUUCUCAAAAAUAACUUGAAAAAAAAAUAAAGUAAAAUAAAAUAAAACGUAGGGGUGGAACAGAGCUCUGGAUGACAUUACAGAUCACACCCAUAACAGUGCAUGGCCUAAAGAAGGUUUCAAAAUCACCUACUCUACUCCCUUCAUUUUGCAGACUGGCUUAUUUGAGACCCAGAGAGUUUACAUCAUCUUGUAAAUUCACAUAGCUAGUUAGUUAAUACAUAUGCAAAAAAAAAAAAAAAAAAAAGACUACUUCUGAACUCCAUUCUUCAAAUAUCCAGUCAUGCAUGCACAUGUAGGGGGGUGUGCAUGUGUAGACAGAGAGAAGGAGGGAGAGACAGCGUGGGAGAGACAAAGCUCAAAUGAAGUACUGAACUCAGUUAUUUUCACAAAAUCUAGUUUUCUAUCUUUGUCUUUCUGUCUUGAUUAGUAAUGAGCAUUUGUGGAAUACCUUGUAAGUGCCAGGCGUUUUGAGAAGUACUUCACUUACAUCAAAUAAUCCUCAUAAUGCCCUGUGACGUAGGUGGUUUUGUUAUCUCUCUUUCCAUAAAGAGCAAAUGAAGGCUUGGUGGUAUAAAUUUACAAGUUUAAGGUCACUUGGUUUCCCUGACCUCCUCAUUCACAGGCUUCACUGUUUAGAGGAGGCACAUUUUGGUCUACCAAAAGUGCAACAAAUAGUGAAGGCUUCCAAACCAAAUUAUUUUAUGCACACUUUCUGAACUGUGUUUUAAACGAAUAUAGCUGCUGUUAAAAAGCAGAGUGGAUUCACAUGGCAGCAGUUUAGAAACAGCUGUGGUCGCUGGUGUGUACACCAUAUGGAGAUGGAAAUUACCUUCCAACCUUCUUUCACGGGCUCAUAUCAAACAGAUUCUUACACUUCAUCCUGAAUCUUUUCUGUGGAGCAAAGGAAAGAGACUCUGCAUAUGCCCUCUUCACUUGCACAGACGGGAAGGGGCGGGUACAAAGGAGAGUCCCAACCUUACCCGGAAACCACUGAAGUUUUGCCAAUAGCGAACUGACAGCAACACUGGAGACAGAGAGAGAUGGCUCACAUUCCAUCUGGCAUGUGGUGCCCUCUAUUGUGCCUUUUGAAAUUCUGCUGGCGGGUGGGGAAACAAUUUGUAGGGCUGGCUGAUAUUUUUCUUUUAUGCAAAUGUACCAGUGUUGGAAAACGGUCUGCUUUUCAUUAAAUCGGAAAUUCCCAAAGGCAAAGCUUACAUCUCCCUUCUUUACUGUGCAUGAUGCCCAACACAUUAUGGAUAGUUAAUAAAUGUCACAUCAUUUUCAUAUUGCCUUGACUAACAAUGACAUUUUCCCAUGAGUCUUGCUUGCUUCAAUUUCUCAGCAAAUCUCAAAAACUGCAUCUAUUUCCUAAGAAAAAAGCACUGUGUAAGGCCCAUCUUCCUUGCCUGAAUCUCUUCCCCAAACUCCUAUUAAUGCUUCACUCGCCUUUUCUCUGGGCCAAGGGAUAUCUCCUCCCACAACCCCCAGCUGUUCCCCAACUCUGUUUCCAUUCCCACUUGCAGAAUUUAUUCACAAAUCUCUGACACCCUGGUUCAUAUCACUCCCAUCACAAAAUGGCAGCUCUCUCUAAACUCCCUAUACUUUAUGAGUCUUUGGGGGAACCCUUUGAGGAGGAUUCUCAAGUAGGCUAUCAGUAGUAUGCAGAUUUUUUAAAGCAUUGUUUUUUUGUUUUCAUAAGGAUUAUUAUACCUCUUAUUUUCUGAGAAAUUGAAAAAAAAUGAAUUAUAAAUGCCAAUGAUAAUUAAUAGUCAGGAAAGGGACCUUGUUUUCUUUAUCUUUGUACCGCAAUUCACAGCACAUGGUGGGUAGUCAGUGAGAGCUCAUAUGAAUGAUAAGUAUUUCCAUCUCUCCUCAAUUAUCUCAAAAGCAAUUCAACAGUAAGAUUUCUAUGUAAAAUGUGAGGUAGAGCAAUCACUAUAUCUUCAUAUUCUUCAUCAAAAGGGCCCAGUAAAGUACUGAAUAUGAGCUAUCAUGAGGACUUCCUCUUCCAAGUACAAAAUGAAAUAAAACCCAAAGGGGAAGAAUAUGCUUAUCUCUCACUUACACUGCUUUGAAUGCCUGAGCUUGGAUUGAAAACUCUAUCAUCUAAAAUGUCAACAGUAAUUUUACUUAUGCAUUUUCCUGCUUCACAGAACAAGAACGUAAUAAAAAGUCUGUCUCAAAAAUUAGAGAACAGAGGCAUCUUUAGGCAUUUAGAAUAAGAAUGUAUUCUAAGUUUCUGCCAGAACUUUUGCAGACUGCUAGUUCCAUUCUCCUGUUUUCCUGACAAGUCUACAGUUCUUCAUCUUCUCAGUGUAUGAAAAAAAUUGAUCUGUGUAUGGAAAUAUUUACACCAAUCAAAAAAAAAAAAAGAAAAACUAUCGUAGCAUAUGAAAAGAGAAGCUUGUUUCAAUCAGGGCCAAAUGUCAGUUUUCAAAAACUUAUAAAAAGGCUAAAAAAUGAAAAACAUCGGAAGAAGCACAAAGUGUUUAUAGUUAUGACUCAGGAGACCAGUUUCACAAUGUUUCCUGUGGCAAGAGUUGUGUUCACUAAGAAUACAACAUGAGAGUUGUAUUCUUGAGAGUUCAACACCUUUGUAGCUCCAUUUGUAACAAAAUUAUAAGGCACUGAAAAGUAAACUUGUAAUUAUUUUGUAAAUAAACUGAAUUUUUCAAUGUGCUAUAUAAAACCUGACAAUUUUGUAAGUGGAACAAAGCAUAGGUAAUAAUGGAUCAGAUUAUAAAUAAAUCACAUUGUUAUUUAAUAAUUAAUAAUUACUCAGUCUAAAUUAACAUUAAAUUAUAAAUAUGACAAUACUAUAUAUAAUAUUAUGUUAAAUACCAUGGCUAUUAAGUUCUACAUAAUAAGAGCGGUCAAAGUCCUUAAUUCCUCACUAUACAUUCUACACCUAAAUGAUUAGCCCAAGCCAACCAGAGCCAGCCCUACUCCCUUCGUCCAUGCUGAUUUAGGAAAAGACUGAGGCUCAAUGUUGGCCAAUGACCUGUGACAGAGGGUCUACUGAAGGCUUUCUGGGAUAGUUUCCUUGCUUCCAAAAAGACACUGAAACACAGAUUCUUUCACCAACCUGGACCCGCUGCAGCAGCCACCGUGUGACCAUUUCCGUCACUUUUCAUAACACACACUUGUAUGCAGUUCUCUUUACAUGCAAGAUACUGUUCUAAGUAUUUUAACUCAUUCAGUUCUCACCUCCCUAUAGGUAGAUACUCGAAUUACCCCCAUUUUUUGAUGAGGACAAUGAGGCACUGAGAGGCUGACUUACCCAAGGCUGUCUUGCCACUAAGUGGCAAAGCCGGAAAUUCAAGCCAGGGUACAUCUCUCAGCCAUGAGGAUGCUAUGUCACCUCUCCAAGAAAGCUGCUCUUAGCCCCCAGCAUGUGUUUCUUCCCUUUAAAAUAUCCUCUUUGCUAGUGGCCACUAGGUCUUUAAUUAUUUUUAAAAAGGCCUGCAAGACAAUAGACUCCUUCGAUAUUCCCUGAACAAAGUAUGAUCCUGGUACAGGGAAGAGUACAUAGGAGUGAGGGCAGUGAGGUUUUGAUGGAGGGAGGACAGAAGGCGGAAAGGGUCAGAGGGCAUGAGGCCUACCAGGCUUCACAAAGGGAGAGCCGAGGUAACGCAAACACGGGAGGCUGGUGCCUGGAAAAUGGAGGGGAAGGGAGCAAGAGGGUUGAGAGUUGUCAGCAACUUACCGGCAGCCACAGGUCAGUGCAGACCGACUAUAUACCUGGCCCCUCUUCUGUAUUACUUGUAAGUGUUAUAACUCACACAUCCUGCAAGGAAGGUUUUCUUAUUCCCAUUUCCCAGAUGAGCAAAGUGGUACUUCAAGAGUGGGUGAUUUGGUGGCAAGGGGCAAAGCCAGCAUGUGAACCAGACUAUAGGAAUCUAAAGAUGAGCUGGCAUCCUGCAGAGCAGAGGCACCAGCAGGGACUGUGAGGGAGAAGAGGAGCCCUCCAGCUCACCACUUUGCUGAGGACUGUGUCUUCCCUCAAAACCAACGACUCUCAGACAUCAUUCCCUUCCCUGGGGGGCCUCCAAAUGAACAGCUCAAGUCUUUCAAGGAAAAUUUCAGAGUUCAUCUGUUUUAAGUUACUUGGAGUUGCUACCAAAAGGAAUCACUCUUUCCCACCCUACCCCUAACGACCAAGCACUGGAAACAACCUAAUGCCUUCAUGCUGUCUGAGCAGAAAAAUGGCUGAGGAGAUUUUUUUUUCCCCUUAGUUUUUCCAAAAAUAAAAACAAACCACAUUCAGCUUCAACCCAAUUGUAGGACAAACAAAUUAUUCUCCCUCCCCACACUCUUACCAGGAUUCGUAAGCAAAUGCAAACCAGGAAAGGGCAGGGAGGAAUUCUACUUAAAACGGUUGAAAACUUCAGGGCUCAAGUAUUCAAUCGACACAUAUUAUGAAUUAUGAAACAUGAGACCAUGUAUAAACAGCUGCUGAUUUAAUCCACAUAUACAUGUGAUCGUGUGUUUUCCCAUCAAAAUCUUGAGAUGCAGGGCACGUGGGUGGCUCAGGUGACUGAGCAUCCACCUCUUGAUUUUGGCUCAGGUCAUGAUCUCACAGUGCAUGGGAUAGAGCCCCACCUCGGGUUCUACGCUGACAAUGUGGGGCCUGCUUAGAAUUCUCUCUCUCUCUCGGGGAGUCUGGGUGGCUCAGUUGGUUGAGUGAUUGACUUCAGCUCAGGUCAUGAUCUUGUGGUUGGUGAGUUCAAGCCCCACAUCGGGCUCUGUGCUGACAGCUCAGAGCCUGAAGCCUGCUUCAGAUCUGUGUCUCCUUCUCUCUCUGUCCCUCCUCUGCUUGUGCUCUGUCUCUCAAAAAUAAAUAAGCAUUGGGGCGCCUGGGUGGUGCAGUCGGUUAAGCGUCCGACUUCAGCCAGGUCACGAUCUCGCGGUCCGUGAGUUCGAGCCCCGCGUCAGGCUCUGGGCUGAUGGCUCAGAGCCUGGAGCCUGUUUCCGAUUCUGUGUCUCCCUCUCUCUCUGCCCCUCCCCCGUUCAUGCUCUGUCUCUCUCUGUCCCAAAAAUAAAUAAACGUUGAAAAAAAAAAAUAAGCAUUAAAAAAUUUAAAAAAAAAAAAAAAAAGAAUUCUCUCUCUUUUCUCCACCCCUCCUCCACAUGCUCUCUCUCUCAAAAAUAAAUAAGCAUUUUUUUUUUUUAAAUCUUGAGAUGCUCUGAGAAUGGAUGGAUCUGUGUGUUUCUUAGCCAUGCAUGGAGUGGAGAGAUCAUGGGAACUGAAGUCAGGUUGAAUACAAAUGUUGGCCAUGCCACUCAGCUCUAGGGGCUUCAGUCCUCCUCACCUGCAAACUGCAGGUAAUUCCCACUUCAAAGGAUUUCUGAGAGAA